Molecule: transfer RNA, 62 nt
Filed under: Cucujoidea sp. 1 KM-2017
Lineage: Eukaryota; Metazoa; Arthropoda; Insecta; Coleoptera
Description: tRNA-Ala
Source: RNAcentral
AGGAUAAUAGUUAAAUUAACAUUUAAGUUGCAUUUAAAAAAUACUGUAGUUCAGUUUAUCUU